CUCAAUGGGACGUGCAGACGUGCUCCUCUACUUCAGCUUUUCCUGCGUGACCCCCUCGGGGCAGCAGCUGACCCGGGAUUUGGUGUCAUUUCCCCAUCAGCACUAAUGAGGAUUAUCCCUACCAGCUCUUUGAAAGCUCCCAGCUGCCCACUGAGCCCUGCUUCCCCCCGCCAGGCACACGGGAGCAUUGCAUCAGCUCCACCCCCAUCCACACACACACACAGACACCACUCGUUUCCAGUGGGUUUAUUUCAAGUGGACAGCAGAUACUACAUUAGGGCUAUGGGAAGGGGCUGCCCAGCAGAGACCCCCGGCCCUGGGACGCCUUCCUCCAGCAGGUGCACGCCGAAUCUUCGGGUCUGCCUCACCAGCAAGCUGGCUUCAAGGCAGGCCGUCAUGGUGCUGGAGGAGGGGGCCCACGGGGAGCAGGGAGCAGUGCUGGGCAGCAGCUCGGCACGCAGCUCUACAGGUAGGCGGGCAGAUCCUUCUCGAUCACGUAAGGAUCCUCCAUUGGGCUGUACCUUUUCACCACUUGGCCCUCACGGUUGAUAAGAAACUUAGUGAAGUUCCACUUGAUGGCAUUCCCCAGCGUGCCCCGGCCCUUGGGCUGCUCCUUCAGCCACUUCCACAGCGGGUGGGCGCCGUCCCCAUUGACCUCAAUUUUGCUGAACAUGUCGAACUUCACCCCGUAGCCCUCCGCAAAGGCUUUGAUCUGCGCGUCGUCCCCGGGCUCCUGCUUCCCGAACUGGUUGCAGGGGAAGGCCAGGAUGCGCAGCCCCUUCUCAGCGUAUCGCGCGUGCAGAUCGACGAGCUGAGUGUAAUUCACCGCGGUCUUUCCUCAUUUGGACGCCACGUUGGUGAUGAUGCAGACGAAGCCCCUGUACUGCUCCAGGGACACAUCGCGGCCGUCGAUGUCCCGCGCGUGGAAGUCGUAGAUGGAGGUGGCCGAGCGCCACUCGUCCGCCUGAGCGCACAUUCUCCGCGCCGCGCCCCGCACCGCCGCCGCCCCGCACAGCAGCGCCCGUCCCCAGCGGCAGCCCCAACCCAU
This 1048-nucleotide long non-coding RNA is filed under the name Gallus gallus (chicken). The record is from RNAcentral. Lineage: Eukaryota; Metazoa; Chordata; Aves; Galliformes; Phasianidae.